GCCAGCAUAGCUCAGUUGGUAGAGCAGCUGAUUUGUAAUCAGCUGGUCGGGGGUUCGAGUCCCUCUGCUGGCUC
This 74-nucleotide transfer RNA is filed under the name Bacteroidota bacterium. Its description in RNAcentral is "tRNA-Thr". It matches the Rfam family "tRNA". From Rfam's summary of the family: Transfer RNA (tRNA) molecules are approximately 80 nucleotides in length. Their secondary structure includes four short double-helical elements and three loops (D, anti-codon, and T loops). Further hydrogen bonds mediate the characteristic L-shaped molecular structure. tRNAs have two regions of fundamental functional importance: the anti-codon, which is responsible for specific mRNA codon recognition, and the 3' end, to which the tRNAs corresponding amino acid is attached (by aminoacyl-tRNA synthetases). tRNAs cope with the degeneracy of the genetic code in two manners: having more than one tRNA (with a specific anti-codon) for a particular amino acid; and 'wobble' base-pairing, i.e. permitting non-standard base-pairing at the 3rd anti-codon position. Lineage: Bacteria; Pseudomonadati; Bacteroidota. The record is from RNAcentral.